GCUGGGCAUUGUGGUGGGUGCCUAUAGUCCCAGUUCGUUGGGAGGCUGAGGCAAGAGAAUUGCCUAAGCCCAGGAGUUGGAGGUUGCUGUGAUCUGUGGUGCCAUGGCACUCUACUGAGGGUGAUCAGGUGAGAUUCUGACUCUAAAAACAAAUAAACAAAGAAUUAUACAGUUCAGUGGGGUUUUUUUUUGUUGUUUGUUUUUUUAGAGACAGAGUCUCACUUUAUUGCCCUUGGUAGUGUGCCAUGGCAGCAUCAGACUACUCACAGCAAUCUCCAACUCCUGGGCUUAGGUGAUUCUCUUGCCUCAG
This 310-nucleotide non-coding RNA is filed under the name Otolemur garnettii (small-eared galago). Lineage: Eukaryota; Metazoa; Chordata; Mammalia; Primates; Galagidae. The record is from Rfam by way of RNAcentral.